CAGCAGCCGCGGGAAUACAGAGGGUGCAAGCGUUAAUCGGAAUUACUGGGCGUAAAGCGCGCGUAGGUGGUUUGUUAAGUUGGAUGUGAAAUCCCCGGGCUCAACCUGGGAACUGCAUUUGAAACUGUCAGGCUGGAGUCUUGUAGAGGGGGGUGGAAUUCCAGGUGUAGCGGUGAAAUGCGUAGAGAUCUGGAGGAAUACCGGUGGCGAAGGCGGCCCCCUGGACAAAGACUGACGCUCAGGUGCGAAAGCGUGGGGAGCAAACAGGAUUAGAUACCCCUGUAGUCCCUGUCUCUUAUAC
This 301-nucleotide ribosomal RNA is filed under the name uncultured bacterium. RNAcentral describes it as "partial 16S ribosomal RNA". It matches the Rfam family "Bacterial small subunit ribosomal RNA", at positions 509 to 807 of the family's 1533-position model. The record is from RNAcentral.